UAAUGCUUGAAUGCUUCGGGACCGUCGAUGGAUCCAGUGGGAAGGACCCUCAGACCCUGUCUUGUCGUCCUGUCUGCCCUGUCCCCACCUUCCAUGAAGAAGCUGAGGUCCAGAGAAGAGGCCGGGCUCACACGGUGCCAUGGGAUUGCGCUCCCAGCCUGACUCCCAGUGCAGUGCUCCUGCCCUUUCUGACCCUUCACCUGUCCAGUCAGCCAGGGGCGGGGAGGGACGGCAAGGCCAAGGCUAGGUCCCAGGCUGAGGACAGGUGUUCGCCAAGCUCCAGCCUUGUCUGGGUGCAGAAGUCUUUCCAUCCGGGCCAGGCCCCGGAGCCAGGGCACGGCGGAAAGGCAGCCGGAGGAGGCCCAAGCGCUCUUCAGGCAGCUAAGCUCACUCUGGACCUGCCUUUUAGGCACCAUCUGCCCCGGAAGAUUGAGAAAGCCUCGGAGUGGAUCUCCCUGUUGCCAGAUCUUCACAGAGGCCCAGAGCACAGGCUCCGGACGCGUAGGCUCAGCGGCCAUGGCUCACGGGCCCAGCCGCUCCACAGCAUGUGGGAUCCUCCUGGACCGGGGCACGAACCCGUGUGCCCUGCAUCGGCAGGCGGACUCUCAACCACUGUGCCACCAGGGAAGCCCUGCACAGAUUUUUAGAUGUCCACAGCCCCAGUAGAGGACUGGCUAACCUGAAAGCUGACCUCUCCCGGGAUAUGGCGAAGUGACAGCUGGACCACGGACACUGGAACACGAUGACCACAGUGACGCCGGCUCCUUUCCUAGUUCCCUAAGGAGCCUUGGGCCACGGCCUCUGCUGACUGGUCACAAUCCAGAAGAGUGGUUCUCAACCUGGCUGCACGCUCAGAUGACCUGAAGAACUUGGCCCACACCCUAGAAUGCAGGCCUCUGGAGAGAGGGAGGUGCUCUGAGAAGCAAGCUACAAUGCAGGGCAGGUCCUGGGGCACAGCUGCCUGGCUCCACACCCAGGACACGGGGAAGGCGUGGCGCGCUGUACUGGGAAGAAGGAGAGGUCUGCUCACCUAAGGAUGCCACAGCCCCGAAAGGAGCACCUUCCAGAA
Mesoplodon densirostris (Blainville's beaked whale) is the source of this 1069-nucleotide long non-coding RNA. RefSeq lists it as uncharacterized. The transcript is spliced from 4 exons. The record is from RefSeq and is a predicted model, not a curated record. Lineage: Eukaryota; Metazoa; Chordata; Mammalia; Artiodactyla; Ziphiidae.